GAUGAACGCUGGCGGCGUGCCUAAUACAUGCAAGCCGAGCGAACGGACGAGAAGCUUGCUUCUCUGAUGUUAGCGGCGGACGGGUGAGUAACACGUGGAUAACCUACCUAUAAGACUGGGAUAACUUCGGGAAACCGGAGCUAAUACCGGAUAAUAUUUUGAACCGCAUGGUUCAAAAGUGAAAGACGGUCUUGCUGUCACUUAUAGAUGGAUCCGCGCUGCAUUAGCUAGUUGGUAAGGUAACGGCUUACCAAGGCAACGAUGCAUAGCCGACCUGAGAGGGUGAUCGGCCACACUGGAACUGAGACACGGUCCAGACUCCUACGGGAGGCAGCAGUAGGGAAUCUUCCGCAAUGGGCGAAAGCCUGACGGAGCAACGCCGCGUGAGUGAUGAAGGUCUUCGGAUCGUAAAACUCUGUUAUUAGGGAAGAACAUAUGUGUAAGUAACUGUGCACAUCUUGACGGUACCUAAUCAGAAAGCCACGGCUAACUACGCGCCAGCAGCCGCGGUAAUACGUAGGUGGCAAGCGUUAUCCGGAAUUAUUGGGCGUAAAGCGCGCGUAGGCGGUUUUUUAGUCUGAUGUGAAAGCCCACGGCUCAACCGUGGAGGGUCAUUGGAAACUGGAAAACUUGAGUGCAGAAGAGGAAAGUGGAAUUCCAUGUGUAGCGGUGAAAUGCGCAGAGAUAUGGAGGAACACCAGUGGCGAAGGCGACUUUCUGGUCUGUAACUGACGCUGAUGUGCGAAAGCGUGGGGAUCAAACAGGAUUAGAUACCCUGGUAGUCCACGCCGUAAACGAUGAGUGCUAAGUGUUAGGGGGUUUCCGCCCCUUAGUGCUGCAGCUAACGCAUUAAGCACUCCGCCUGGGGAGUACGACCGCAAGGUUGAAACUCAAAGGAAUUGACGGGGACCCGCACAAGCGGUGGAGCAUGUGGUUUAAUUCGAAGCAACGCGAAGAACCUUACCAAAUCUUGACAUCCUUUGACAACUCUAGAGAUAGAGCCUUCCCCUUCGGGGGACAAAGUGACAGGUGGUGCAUGGUUGUCGUCAGCUCGUGUCGUGAGAUGUUGGGUUAAGUCCCGCAACGAGCGCAACCCUUAAGCUUAGUUGCCAUCAUUAAGUUGGGCACUCUAAGUUGACUGCCGGUGACAAACCGGAGGAAGGUGGGGAUGACGUCAAAUCAUCAUGCCCCUUAUGAUUUGGGCUACACACGUGCUACAAUGGACAAUACAAAGGGCAGCGAAACCGCGAGGUCAAGCAAAUCCCAUAAAGUUGUUCUCAGUUCGGAUUGUAGUCUGCAACUCGACUACAUGAAGCUGGAAUCGCUAGUAAUCGUAGAUCAGCAUGCUACGGUGAAUACGUUCCCGGGUCU
Molecule: ribosomal RNA, 1371 nt
Filed under: uncultured bacterium
Lineage: Bacteria
Description: bacterial SSU rRNA
Rfam family: Bacterial small subunit ribosomal RNA
Source: RNAcentral